Long non-coding RNA from Meriones unguiculatus (Mongolian gerbil), 5344 nucleotides. RefSeq lists it as uncharacterized. The record is from RefSeq and is a predicted model, not a curated record. NCBI's taxonomy places the organism in Eukaryota, Metazoa, Chordata, Mammalia, Rodentia, Muridae. The transcript has 2 exons.
UGUCCACAGAAACAGUUUGCUUUGUCCUCUGCAAGCUGGACAUCUUUUAUUUAUUCCUCUCAUCUAACGUUCCUUCACGGAUCUGAGCUCUCAUACAGCACUGAAGGGAGAGGAGAGAGAGCAAGCCCUAUCUUGUUCCGGCCUUAUAGGGACAACUUCAGUUUUACCAUUAAUUAUGCCAUUGUCUCUGGGUUUUCAUAGAUGUCUGUUACCAGUUAAUAAUAUUCUUUUUUUUUUGGUUUGUUGAACAUUUUUGUCAUGUUAGAUUCUGUGAAAUGCAUUUUCUGUUUUUACUAAGAUAAUUGUGUGAUUUGGGUCCAUUGUUAUAUUAACACACUUUAUGUUACUAAUUGAUUUUUAGAUUUUAGAUUAGCCUUGCAUUUCUGGAAUAAAUAUUGUCAUACCCACCAGCUUUCCAUCCCUGAGCAGAGCAUCUGAGUUAAGCUCCUUAGCAGGAGGAGAUUCCUAUUUCGGCCCAUUGUUGCAUAGGUUUCCAUCUUUGUGGUAGUGACACUCACUCCCUUGGACCAGCAUCCAGCAAGGCUGGACAGUGUGGCUGGGAGUGCUGUGGAGAAAGGCAGCUGGACAGUAGAAAGGAAGAGUACAGGAAGGAGGACGCAAGGGUGUCAGUGUCUCCAUGUCUUAUUCAAAGGUACUCCCUCUUACCUAACUGCUUUCUAUUAGGGCCCGCCCCUAAGGCCCUUCACCUCCUAAUAGUGCUGCAAGCUGGGGACCACGCCCUUAACGUAAGUUUAACAGAGGGUGUUUUGGGAGGAUGCUUCAGCUCCAAACGGUAAUGAUAUUUUAGUCUGGUUUUAACAGCAUGUAAUGCUGGUCUCAGAGCAAGCGUGGGGACCUCCUUGUCUUCCCCAUCCCCUUUUCUUGAGGCAGUUUCAGUAUUGUGUCUUUCUAGGAGAUCAUCCAUUUCAGCUAGGCUAGCUCAUUUGUGAGAUUGCGUAUGUUCACCGUACAGGCUGAAUGCCCCUUAACCAAAGAUGCUUAGAUGUAUUUCAGAUUCUGGAGUCUGUGUUUUGUUGUGGUUUUGGAAUGCUUGUGUAAAGUUUAUAAUUGAACACCCCUAAGCUGAAAUCUAGACUUUCCGAUUAGAAUUGCUCAUUUUAUUAUCUUAUGGUACAUUCUAUUUGAUAGUAACACCACGUCUUUCACUCCUGAUUUCCUGCUAUACUUUGUAAGUGUAUAUAAAGCAUACAGUCUACGUUUCGAUUGUAUAGCUGUAUAUUACAAAUAGCAGCUUCCUGCUUUAUAUCCUGAAGGAUGUAAUCACACAAAGUGUUUUUCAAGUUUUUAGCUGUUAAAAACCACAGAAGUAUUCUGUUUGACGUAAUUUGGAUGUACACUUAAGUAGUAAUUAAUCACACAUUAACUCAAGGGCUACUGAAUGAGGAAUUAAUAACCAAAUGUGCAGAACUGUUUGAAAUACCACCUAAAAAAUGCCUCAGUAAAGCUGUCCCUCUCAGACAGACUUUCAGAGCAGCCAUACCAAUGUGCUCAGCACAGUUCUUUCCUUUCUCUACUGAACUGCAUGUGACAGUGGCAUUCCACACCCCAGGACACUUGGGCUUGCUGUCACAGAGUACGGCUGGCCCAUCAUCCCCAGCUUCACCACACUGGCAGAAGUACCCAGUUGUAGGCACUAUUGUGUUGGCAUACGCAUGUGAGCAGCUCAUGUGCCUGCAGUUUUUCCAUUUUCUUAGCGCUGUCUCCCCCAUCCCUGCUUUUAAGACAGGGUAUUGCUCAGCCUGGGGCUCACUCUAUAGCCUAGGCUGCCUUUGAACUCACGAUAUCUGCCUGCUUCAGCCUCUUGUAUCUUGGGAUCAUAGGCGUGAGCUACCAUGCCCAGCUCAGGUUUGCUUAGCAUUCUUAUCUGCUUGUUAUUUCAUCUUCAAAUAGAUCACACUUUGAACUGAAAGUCAGUCUGCAGUGUAAGAAAAACUGAUCUGGCAGGAGUCCUGGGUCCUCAGUUACUUACCAUGGACCUUUUAAAAAUGCUCUUAAAACUCCCCUGCAUUUUCCCUCAUUAUUCAACUGCUCUUUUAUCUUCAUUGUUCCAAAAUCUUUUGUUCGUACCGCCUUUCUGAAAUUAUACAAAAAGGAUUUUUAAAAAAAAAAUGUAUCAAACUGCUAUUCUGAAUGUUCAGGUACUGACUUUUUUUAAGGAAAUGCAACGCAGAAAGUCAGUAGACAUUUUAUGUGGAGCUGAGAGGAGUGAAGCUCUGUAAUAUGAGAGGAGAUCCUACUCUCUGCAUUAUGUACAGGUCAAGAUUAAUGGAACCAGGUAAAUUAUUCACCAGGUGAUUGAGAAGGGUGGGAAAGUGGAGAUUGAAAUGGAUCUUUAAGCAGUCAAUUAAGCCUUUGCAUGAUUGAGAAGAUAAAUAGUCGGAUAAAAAUCCAUUUGAACAACUGAUUCCGUUAUGUAAAACACACCUACAGGAUUUGAAAUGCAACCAAGUCUGUUUUAUAUUAAGGCGAGUAUAAACCAACUUAAUUUUAGACCUGCCUCCAGCCCCAGAUUAUGUUUGGUGUGAGGACAAAGAGCCAUACAGCAUGAAUGCAGGGGGAAUCAGGAGAGUGCGAGGACUCUCUGCCAGGAAAGUUUGGCAAAAAACCCCAAGAGGAAGGAGAAAUUUCUCUGUCAAAUCGACUUUGGCUCUCUGGCAUAGAGAACACAGAGAGAGAGGGACUGAGAAAGCUAGUCCCAUUCUACUUGUUGAUACCUUAACAAGCUGUUGAUUUUUGAAAGGGGACAAAGGAGCAAAGUGUGGUUAGCAUUCUGUCCCCUUGAGUCAGGCCUAAUGAAGUGGGAGGUUCUUGAAAAAAUUAAUUUCCAUUUAAAUUCAUGCGUGACCCUCUUCCAGCAACCUCCAAGUGUUUGGGAAUUUUUGUUGAGAAUUUCAAAUGGUCCAGCAAUAAUAAGCUCUUUUUCGACAUGUUCUGUUUCUUUAAGGCUAAGUUUUACGUUGAAUGCCUGAUUUCAGCUGUAAAUUUUUUUUUUCAAAAUUGGAAUAACUGAUUAUUUUCUUUUAUGUUUACUGAUUUAAUGUGGGAAAGAUAAAUGGCAAUUCUCAUACUUCCAAAGCAAUCAGGCUUUUAAUCCAGGUACUGUACUCAGGACUCCGGUGGGAGUUGGUGCCAGAUUUCCUGGCAGCUAAACAGUGGUUGAUUCCAGGGCUUUUCUGACUUAAAGACACAGGGUACUGCUCAACAGAAAAUAGAAGGCUGCUCCUCAGCACAGUUCCUGAGAGGAACAAAGGUGACUAGAUGGCUGGGUUUCAGGGCAUUGCCGAGCAGAUGAAAAGGAGGCUGUGCUGCGCUCUGGCUGCCUCAACCCUCAGGGGAGGCAGGCAGCUUUGGAAAAGAGUGACUUUGCCUCAAAUCCGAAGCGACCCUAAUGCUCUUUCUGUGUCAACUUUUGAUUAGUUGUGGACAGACUUUCUUUUCUUGAAUCUUAUCUACACAAAGGCCUAGUAUAUAGUGGUGUCGUGCCAUGAGCCAUUACCCAGAGUCCAGCUGUCUCCAGGGAACUGAAGCAAGUCAGUUAAAUUCUUGCAGAGCUGGGGAUCAAACCAGGGACUUGUGCAUGCUCUCCCACUCUACCACUAAGUGACACCCCUCAUUCCUGCUUCCUCGGGAGAGGAAGGGGAGCGCCAUUCACAGUGUUGGAUCCAGUCCCCUUGUCUCCGGUCAUUUUAAGGCUACCCCCCGUCCUUCAGGCUAUGCCUCUUUAUGAUUGAAAUGGAACUGCAUAAAACUGAAUGGGAUGUUUGCUUCAUUGAUGUGUGACACAAAUAUUUUUGUAGCUCCAAGAGAAAACUCAGAAGCUCAUUUGGGGGGUAUAUGGUUAGGUGUGUAUAUGUGUGUAUAUACAUGUGUUUGUACAGGUGCACACAAGGGCCAGAAGUCCAUGUCACACGCCUCUUUGGUCUCACUCCUCCUCCUCCUCCUCCUCCUCCUCCUCCUCUUUCUUUUUCUUCUUCUUUCUUCUUCUUCUUCUAUAAACACAAAAAUGAAAGGAGCUGAAACAGACAGUCAGUGAUGGGGAAUUUUAUUAACUACAGUUAGCCCCAAGGACCAUCAUGUCUUCUUUGGGAUUACAGAUGUAUGCCACUACACUCAUGUUUUUGCAUAGAUGCUGAGCCACCUCUCCAACCCCCCAAACCUCUUGACUAGUCUGUUCUGAGGCUGAGCUCUUUUGUCAUGGAGAUUGACCACAGUCUCCUACUUCACAUAACCUAACUAUUCUUUUGUUACAAGGUCUUUAAGGGAAAGACACGGUAUAACAUAUAUUCAUAAAGGUUUGUUUAAAGCACUUAUGAGAGUCUGGAGAAAUGCCUCAGUGUUGAAGAGCAUUUGCUCUCCUUCCAGAGAACCCUAGUUUGGUUCCCAGCCUCCAUAUUGGGUGGCUCACAGCAGCCUGUAACUCCAGCUCUAAAUGGUUCAAUGCCCUCUUCUGACCUCUGUGAGCAUUUUUACAAGUGUAGCAUUCUGUGUCUCCAGCACACACAUAUAUCAAUAAAAAUGAUAAAAACUAAAUCUUAACAAACCCCCAAACUAACCAGUCAAAAGCCUAGCAAAUCCUGGUCCUUCAUUAGAGCUGCAGGGGUAUGGCUGUAUUUCUGAAUAAAGAGUUUUAGUGAAAGUUAGUGUUACUAUCCCUUUAAGUGGUUUCACCUCAGAACUGCGAUAAAGUCAUUGCUGUUCCUGUAGAACAUCCAUAUACAUAAAGUAAAAAUCAAUCUUAAAAAACAGUAGGGGAAUCUUAGAUGUUUUGAAAUGUAAUUUUACAUUAUUAUAAUCAUGAUAUUUUAUUAAGAGAAUAUUUCUGAAAACAGAAACUAGUUAUGGCUUAACUAUUUCAUUAAUUUAAUUAUAUAUUACUUUAUGUUCUACUCAUACCUAAAAAUAAUAUGAAGCGACUGCUAUUGACGUAAUUUAUAAUGCAUGCACCAUAAUCAUCACAGUGGAUAAGGAGUUGCAGAAUUGUGGGCGUUAGUGAGGCUGGAGAAGGUGUGGACCGUUUUGUGCACUGCCAGUUGCCAGGGAAUAUAACCAGCUCUCGAGAGAAGAAGGAAAGGGAAUUGCUGGCCACCGAGGCAGGUGACUCCUGACCCCUUCCCCUCUUUGUGAAGACAUUAUAGCUUGGGGAAGAUGAGUGCUGCUGUAAGAGCUGGGCUCAGUUAUUAGAGUCUUGCUGGCACCUUUUGGGAGCGGGGAGCUAGCAGCCCUGUCAACUUUGUGAGAUGCGAAAAUGAACAAGUCAGCAACAGAAGCCCAAACUGCUGGUAAAUGGGCCUAACUGUAGUUAAUAAAAUUCCUCAUCACUGAC